This 253-nucleotide ribosomal RNA is filed under the name uncultured bacterium. RNAcentral describes it as "partial 16S ribosomal RNA". It matches the Rfam family "Bacterial small subunit ribosomal RNA", at positions 524 to 776 of the family's 1533-position model. The record is from RNAcentral.
UACGUAGGUGGCAAGCGUUAUCCGGAAUUACUGGGCGUAAAGCGCACGCAGGCGGCGCAUCAAGUUCGACGUGAAAGCUCCCGGCUUAACUGGGAGAGGUCGUUGAAGACUGAUGUGCUUGAGGCAAUGAGAGGGGUGUAGAAUUCCCGGUGUAGUGGUGGAAUGCGUAGAUAUCGGGGGGAAUACCAGUGGCGAAAGCGGCACCCUAGCAUUAGCCUGACGCUCAUGUGCGAAAGCGUGGGGAGCGAACGGG